Molecule: ribosomal RNA, 660 nt
Filed under: uncultured bacterium
Lineage: Bacteria
Description: bacterial SSU rRNA
Rfam family: Bacterial small subunit ribosomal RNA
Source: RNAcentral
AGUGGCGGACGGGUGAGUAACGCGUGAGAAUCUGCCUUGGGGUCGGGGACAACCACUGGAAACGGUGGCUAAUACCGGAUAAGCCGAUUGGUGAAAGAUUUAUUGCCCGAAGAGGAGCUCGCGUCUGAUUAGCUAGUUGGUGAGGUAAGAGCUCACCAAGGCAGCGAUCAGUAGCUGGUCUGAGAGGACGAUCAGCCACACUGGGACUGAGACACGGCCCAGACUCCUACGGGAGGCAGCAGUGGGGAAUUUUCCGCAAUGGGCGAAAGCCUGACGGAGCAAGACCGCGUGAGGGAGGAAGGCUCUUGGGUUGUAAACCUCUUUUCUCAGGGAAGAAGCUCUGACGGUACCUGAGGAAUCAGCCUCGGCUAACUCCGUGCCAGCAGCCGCGGUAAUACGGAGGAGGCAAGCGUUAUCCGGAAUUAUUGGGCGUAAAGCGUCCACAGGUGGCGAUUCAAGUCUGCUGUCAAAGCACGGGGCUUAACUCCGUAAAGGCAGUGGAAACUGAAUAGCUAGAGUGCCGUAGGGGUAGAGGGAAUUCCCGGUGUAGCGGUGAAAUGCGUAGAGAUCGGGAAGAACAUCGGUGGCGAAAGCGCUCUACUGGACGGCAACUGACACUCAGGGACGAAAGCUAGGGGAGCGAAUGGGAUUAGAUACCCC